RNAcentral lists this microRNA (21 nucleotides) under Brugia malayi. RNAcentral describes it as "bma-miR-9512". Lineage: Eukaryota; Metazoa; Nematoda; Chromadorea; Rhabditida; Onchocercidae. The record is from miRBase by way of RNAcentral.
AGUGAUACCAAACAGACCUUU